GAGCCGGGCUUCGUCACGCUGUACCGUUGGAUCGUAGGCGUAUAGAACUAGCCCCCUGUAAUUACAGGACCUCACGAGGUUUUUUUUGUCAAUUUCCUUCCACAUUUUUUUUACUAGGACUAUUUUGUAAAGAGAAAAAAAAUUCCAGCCCCAGAUG
This 157-nucleotide small RNA is filed under the name Oryza sativa Japonica Group (Japanese rice). RNAcentral's name for it is "sRNA Os02g0688800". Lineage: Eukaryota; Viridiplantae; Streptophyta; Magnoliopsida; Poales; Poaceae. The record is from RNAcentral.